Molecule: small nucleolar RNA, 64 nt
Organism: Cyprinodon variegatus (sheepshead minnow)
Lineage: Eukaryota; Metazoa; Chordata; Actinopteri; Cyprinodontiformes; Cyprinodontidae
Gene: SNORD14
Rfam family: Small nucleolar RNA SNORD14
About the family: U14 small nucleolar RNA (U14 snoRNA) is required for early cleavages of eukaryotic precursor rRNAs. In yeasts, this molecule possess a stem-loop region (known as the Y-domain) which is essential for function.
Source: Ensembl
CAUUCGCAGUUUCCACCAGAGGUCUAACGACCAAAGAUGGUUCAAAUCUUCCUUGGAUGUCUGA